This 451-nucleotide ribosomal RNA is filed under the name uncultured bacterium. RNAcentral describes it as "bacterial SSU rRNA". It matches the Rfam family "Bacterial small subunit ribosomal RNA", at positions 354 to 796 of the family's 1533-position model. The record is from RNAcentral.
GUGAGGGAUUUUGCGCAAUGGGGGCAACCCUGACGCAGCAACGCCGCGUGAGUGAUGAAGGCCUUCGGGUCGUAAAGCUCUGUAGGGUGGGAAGAAGGUGUCAUAUUAUAAUAAGGUAUGAUAUUGACGGUACCGCCGAAGGAAGCACCGGCUAACUCCGUGCCAGCAGCCGCGGUAACACGGAGGGUGCAAGCGUUAUUCGGAAUCAUUGGGCGUAAAGAGCACGUAGGCGGUUUUUCAAGUCAGAUGUGAAAGCCCGGGGCUUAACUCCGGAAGUGCAUUUGAGACUGAAGGACUUGAGUAUGGGAGAGGGAAGUGGAAUUCCUGGUGUAGCGGUGAAAUGCGUAGAUAUCAGGAGGAAUACCAGUGGCGAAGGCGACUUCCUGGACCAAUACUGACGUUGAGGUGCGAAGGCGUGGGGAGCAAACAGGAUUAGAAACCCUUGUAGUCC